GGGAUUUAGGAUUCCUUCCUUAGCCUUACCUUUUAGGAAAGAUACCCCAGCCCCUUGAUCAUUUUGGUUGCCCAUUUCUGCACCUUUCCAGUUCUAGAAUAUCCUUUUUGAGAUGUUGCAACCCGGACCAUACACAGCAUUCCAAAUGCAACUACACUACAUAAAGUCAAUGCCAAUAAAGGUGUUACAAUACUGGCUAUUUUAUUUUCAAUCUUCCCCCCUUUUUCACCACUACUAGAAAUAAGCUGAUAUUUUCAUUUUUUUUCUUGCCACCACAACUUUAGGAUUCAUCUCCUGGCUACCCGUGGCCAGUUCAGGCUCCCUCAAUAGAAAUGCAAAAUUUGGAUGUUUUGCAUUACUUUCUUUGCUAGGAUGUGCAUUACUUAAUUUAAACCUCAUUUGCUGCUUUAUUGCCCAUUCACCCAUUGAAGAGAGUUUUUGUUUUUUUGCAAGCCUCUUGGAUUUUCAUUAUCCUGAAUAAUCUGGUGUCAUCUCUAAACUUGACUAUCUCACUUCUCACCACCGACUCCAGAUCAUUUAUAAAUAAGUAAGCAGUACUAUUCCCAAGAUAGACCUGUGGAAAGGACUCCACUUACAUCGUGAAGAUUGUUCAUUUAUCCCUACUCUCUACUUCCUCUUCUUUAACCAGUUGCUGAUUUUAAAGAGCCACAUGUCCCCUUUUCUGUCUAGACUGGCCCUUUGCUACUUCAGCGAAAGUAAGACCAAUGUAAGUAAUGGCUUUCCUCUAACUAGGGCUGAGAAAACAAUGUCAAAGUUUCUCAUAAAUAUUUUUGAUCCUGCUGAACAAUAUCUUGCACUUUGAUACUCUUCAGUACUCCUUUUGGAUAGAAUUGACUGUUUAUGUGAACUGCCCAUUUCUUAUCAGUUUCUCUGUCUCUCAACUUCAUGCGCUGUCGGUUGUGUUACCACAUAGCCAAAUAUGAUUAGUAGGACAUCAUUCAUUGCAUUUUCCCUUCCUGAGAGGUAUCUAAUCAAGGAAGCAUUGGACUGAUCUGCCCUUGCUUUCCAUUGUUCUCAUUGAGCAGUAUUACCAUGUAACCAAAUGUAGCCAUGUCACCAAUCCUUUUAUUGUAUUUAAUAUUUACUUUUGCACUUGUGUCCCAUCUUUUUCCUCCUAAGAUCUCAAGGUGGCAUACAGGGUUCUUCCCUCUCUCCUCGUGUAAUCCCCCACAACAUCCCUCCAAGGUAGGUUAGGCUGAGAGGCAGUGAAUGGUGUAAGGCCAACCAGUGAGCUUCACAUGGCUGAGUGGGGAUUUCAACUCUUGCCUUUGUGGUCCUUGUCCAACACUCUAACCACUAUACCACACUGGCUCUCAAGGUGAAAAUUACAUGAAAUGCAGCAGCAGUCUGGUGAAACAAUUGGCAUCAACAAGAAUGGUAAAAAGCGAAUGUCAGCCCAUCUAAGAGAGUGGGGGGGGGGGGUGGCUCAGCGGCAUUUCUGUGUCUCCUGAACACCAGAGUGGAGAAUAUUCAGCACAGCUCUAGUUGGAAAUAUGCUGCCCUUUCUAGUUUCUCUUCAGCAUUUUCUGCAGCAACUGAGGCUGUUCAAGCUCUGAGCCUGUCACCUAGCAGCCUGCUUCUUUGCUUAGGUCCACACAGAUGCAUGCACACAGCCACCCGCCGCCACAUGCCAAAACCUAAUAAUUCUGAGUUCAGGGUCAGUGAAUAACACCCUGUUCUAAAUGUUGGAAUUGGGUGUUAAUGAGAAAAAGCAUUCAACUCCAGCAGAGUCCUGGCCUGUAAUUAAUGACCCAAUUGGUUUUGCUUGGUACCCCAGGCAGAAGGCAGGGUUCCUGUAUGGCAAUUGCAAGCGACUGACCCUGAAGGGCCACUAGCAAAAUUAUACAGUAAUAAUUCGUAAAGGCUCUAGUUGAGAUGCAGGUUAAUAAUGGCAAUUAAUAAAGUCCUUCCGCUGACCCUAAUUCUCGGAGGUGGAGGGCAGUGUACCUGAUGCCUGGAAGCAAAAGUCCUGGCCUUGUGGUUAAGUAACUUUAGACUUCAGACUAAAUCAGUUUACAGGCCUUCUGUUUAGAUGGUAAAGAGUAUUAUUUCACUUACUUCAACAUGUGGUGAGCCAACUAAUGUGAUGGGGAAAAAGAGGGAGGGCAUCACCAAAAAGAAAAAGGAGAAACACUGAUUUGCACAAAGUGCAUACAUUUCCCCCACAAGAAACAGUGAUGGCCACCAACUUGGAUGGCGUUAAUGGUAAAAGCUAAAGGUACCCCUGCCCGUACGGGCCAGUCUUGACAGACUCUAGGGUUGUGCGCUCAUCUCACUCUAUAGGCCGGGAGCCAGCGCUGUCCGCAGACACUUCCGGGUCACGUGGCCAGCAUGACAAGCUGCAUCUGGCGAGCCAGCGCAGCACACGGAAUGCCGUUUACCUUCCCGCUGGUAAGCGGUCCCUAUUUAUCUACUUGCACUUAAGGGUGCUUUCGAACUGCUAGGUUGGCAGGCGCUGGGACCGAAUGACGGGAGCACACCCCGCCGCGGGGAUUUGAACCGCUGACCAUGCGAUCGGCAAGUCCUAGGCGCUGAGGUUUAACCCACAGCGCCACCCGCGUUAAUGGAGGCUUAGACAAAUUCAUGGAGGAAAAGGCUAUCAGUGGCUACCAACUCUGAUGUCCAUAUUGUUAAGUAUAAUUAUUUAAUUGAUACUGAAAUGGAAAAUGGCUAUGUGUAUUACUGAAGGCUUUAACAUGGUUUUUUUCAUGGGGCUAUACUGCAGCCAAGAAUAGGACUCAGAGUUGAUAAUUAACUAUUGUUGUUCUCUAGUAGCUAACAUGUGAGUGUUUAACCUUAGAUCAGGCGACAAAGGUAUUUGGUUGCAAAUCUACAUUUUGAAAGGAGGUUGCCUUUAGUCUUUUUCUCAGGCUUUGUUAAAGUAAGAUGAGCUUAUAGUUUAAGCGGCUGGAAUGCAGGCAAUGGAGCCUGUGUGUGUGUGUGUGUGAGAGAGAGAGAGAGAGAGAGAGAGAGAGAGAGCUCUGAUUAUGAGUUUAUUUUAUUUUUAAGAAGAUGUGUUGGACUUGCAUAAUAUUACAUGGAAUUAUUUGGAUGUAUCUUUGAUGUUUUUGUUCUGUUUUGAGGAAAGUUCUGCAAGUAAAGUUUUGAACAACCUAAUGGGUCUGGACAAUGCUUCAUCCCCAAAGGAGUCAGUUUUUAUGCAUCCAGUCACUUCAGAAUGUGCAAUAUUAAUAUCUGCAAUAUAUAUUUUGCUUCCGCUGCUUUCAGUAGUAUGUUUCUGAAUACCAGUUGCUGGAAACCAUAGGAGUGGAGAGUGCAGUUGUGCUCAGGUCCUGCUUAUGGACUUCCCACCAGCAUCUAGUUGGUCACUGUGAGAACAAGAUGCUGGCUUAGAUGGGACAUUGGCUUGAUCCAUCAGCCUCUUCUUAUGUGCAUCUGCUAAUUUAUAUGUACAGGUGCAAAAUUACAAAGAAGUUAUAAUCUGAAUUGAUUUUUUAAAAAGAAAUUGAUUUUUUUAAUGAGAUUUUAAGAAAUAAACAAAUAAGUAAAUAUCAUACACAUCACCAUAGAUUAUGACCAGGUGACCUUAUGUGUUUACUCAGUUUGCUGUUCAGGAGCUAACUGUUGAUGGGUAACUUUGGAGCCCCUGUUCUCCUGUCAUAUGAUUCUUCAUCUUUAGAUUGGACUUGAGUGGGACAGCCUUUCAAAUAGGCAACUCCUACAAAUAGAAGUCUGUUCUCUGCAAAGCAGGACACACAAGGCCAUCUUGCCACAGUCUCUGAUGGGACUUAGCUUUGAUGAAUAGGACAGUAUGUGUUUAGCUAGAGCAUUUAAACCCUUAGGAAAGGGCUUAGUGGCAGAACAUCUGUCUUGCCUGCAGAAAAUCCAAAGCUCAAUCUCCAGUAUCUCAGGCCUGGACUGAGAGAAACUUCUUGCCUGAAACCCUAGAGAGCUGCUGCCUGUCAGUUUAGACAAUACUGAGCUAGAUGGACCAGAGGAUCUGACUGAGUAUAAGGCAACUUCCUAUGUUCCCUUGCUGUGUUCUAUGUUCCCAUCUUCAGUCUUGGAAGUGCAACAAACAGACCAGACAAGCAUCAGAGAGUCAUAGUCACCUGUUAAAGCUGAACAACAUGACUGCAGCUUUCCUCAGCAUGGAGCUACACUGAUAGGAAAGAGCUUUACCUGUUAAAUUGCUGCCCACCCCAUAGCUAUGAGAAAUCCAGUAGUUCAAUAAAAAAGAGGCAAUUCUAUUGAUGAGGCUGCAGUAUUUCUAUAAUUUGUUGCACUCUAUGGUUUGUUCUGCGUCUUCAGGAAUGUAAAGGGACUGUAACUCAGUGGAGGCAGGUGUAAACAGCUGCCAGGUAAAUCAAUAAAAUUCAGAUGGCAUGAAUUAAACUAAUUACAAUUGAGCCACUAUUGAUUUUUCUACACACUCAGGACAAGGAUAUAUUC
RNAcentral lists this long non-coding RNA (4434 nucleotides) under Podarcis lilfordi (Lilford's wall lizard). The record is from RNAcentral. Lineage: Eukaryota; Metazoa; Chordata; Lepidosauria; Squamata; Lacertidae.